GCAAAGAUAAAAACACAGCCCGGUUGGUAGUCCGGGCGCAGCCCGCUUUAGUGGUUGUCAGUAACCUGCCUCCUUGGUUGUCCGUUCUUUGACCGU
RNAcentral lists this non-coding RNA (96 nucleotides) under human gut metagenome. RNAcentral describes it as "yjdF RNA". It matches the Rfam family "azaaromatic riboswitch aptamer (yjdF RNA)", at positions 6 to 91 of the family's 101-position model. The record is from RNAcentral.